GAUAAACGCUGGCGGCGUGCAUAACACAUGCAAGUCGAACGAAGUGGCGAAAGGGUGAGUAACACGUGAGUAAACUGCCUUACACAAGGGGAUAGACAUUGGAAACGAAGAAUAAUACCCUAUAGUGUAAGAUGGACUUGCGUCUGAUUAGCUAGUUGGUGAGAUAAAGGCCCAACAAGGCAACGAUCAGUAGCCGGCGUGAGAGCGUGUGCGGCCACAUUGGGACUGUGACACGACCCAAACUCGACGGGAGGCAGCAGUGGGGAAUUUUGCACAAUGGGGGAAACCCUGAUGCAUCGACGUCGCGUGAUUUAGUAGGCCUUCGGGUUGUAAAAAUCUUUUUUAUGGGAUGCAGUACUAUAAGAAUAAGGUCCGGCUAAAUGCGUGCCAGCAGCCGCGGUAAUUC
Molecule: ribosomal RNA, 406 nt
Filed under: uncultured bacterium
Lineage: Bacteria
Description: partial 16S ribosomal RNA
Rfam family: Bacterial small subunit ribosomal RNA
Source: RNAcentral